AACUAAAUUGCCUAAAUCUCUUCCUCAUCUGCUGCUCUGUCUUUUAGAGUUGUGAACUGACCUCUUCCUUUUACAGCUAGACAAUUGACAAAUAAGCUGGGUAUAUAAAGAACAUAAGGUAUGAGUUGUCAUUAACAAAUAAGCUGGGUAUAUAAAGAACAUAAGGUAUGAGUUGUCAUUAGCAUAAAAGUCAUAUUAUCAACGAGGGAAAUUGGCACAACCAGACAUCUCAAACAUUGAUAAACAUUGAUAAGGGAAGAAUUAGGCCUUCAUUAGGAUAUUCCUUUCAUCCGCAUGGCAAGGCUUGCCAGUUUCCUGGAGUACACUCGCAUCUGGUUUGAUUCCAAGUAGGUCCUCCCCUAAAGUCGCUUUCAUGUUACCAAGAGGCACGGAUUUAAGCUGUGGAAAUAACGUCUAGUAAAAAUGACCCCUGCAUCGGGGGAGCUUUGGUGUACUGCACUCAAAUAGGUCGAGUAAAGCUGUUCAUCGAAGCUAGUAUGAUGGCUUCGUAGUGAGUGUUGUUGUUGGGAUUUGGAUAUGGAAUCUCCAGGUUGUUACUCGUAUGACUCAACGCUUAACCACCCUUUUAGGACAAUGAAACUUUAUUAUUGCUUCUAGCAAGUUUCUUUUUCCGAUGUGCUAGUUUGUUCAGGGUGUUAACUGUUUAUUCUGAGUAGAGAAUGCAUAAAUAUCAGCCAGUUGCCAGCUUAUUGAAAUUAUACUUUUUGUUUGUUACCUUUGCUACCAUCUGAUAGUUACACGUGGGAAUUUGGAAGGUUUUAUCUGCAUCAUCAACAUAAACUCUCUUAAACUGCAAGUUUGAAUUACACAUAAUUAUUGGUAAUUUUGAAAACGAAAGAGAUUCAUGGUCUACAAAAUGUUACAGAAUUUUGAAGCUAGGGCUUGGGGGCGUGUAUUUCUUCAUUUUGUGUCCCGUUUUCUCUAAAAUAGAUAAGUUUCUUCACUAUACUGAACUAAGCUUACAAAUUUUUCAACUUCCUAUGACUAGUGAUAAAUUUGCAGCAAAAGCAGUCAUUUUGCUUAAUUGAUUUCUGCAGUGGGCUAGUAGCCGAGGCUGAUAUAGAACUUUUUCAGCUUUUAUAGAUAUCAUAUCUUUCGUCUACUGCUGCCUCUGGAAAUUUGUUCCAACUUCCAGAAUGUAGGAAGCAAGAUCAAGUCUGUAAUAUAGCUAAGCUGUUACAACUUUUGGAUCUCAUUGAAUACUCCUUUAUCAAUUUGGAGAAGAAAGAAUCCUCUCUUUCCAAUAGCUUUGCUGGUGUGUCAUAUUCGGCUAUUCUUCCUGUUAAAGGGCAAGUGAAGGAAUUCACAUAUAGAAUUAGAUGCUUAUUCAAUUCAGUAGGAUAAAGAGAUUUAGAUGCAAUAAAAUUUUACCUUCAUUCAAGACUAAGAUAAGGUCACUAUCAAUGACGGUGUGGAUUCUAUGAGCUAUUGUCACAACUGUUCUAUUUCUGAACUCUUGACUGAUAAUCUUUUGUAACACUGCAUCAGUUGCAGCAUCAACUGAUGCUGUUGCUUCAUCCAGAACGAGAAUGCUGCUUUUCUUCAGCAAGGCUCUUCCAAGACAGAAUAGCUGCCUUUGACCAACACUCCAGUUUUCUCCAUUUUCAACCACUGUGAAACUGAAUACAUUAGUAGGUUUCAAGAAGGAAGUAUGUCCUUGUUUCGUAAAAAUUCUGAGGCUUAAGAUUCUACAAUUUUAUCAAGCAAUUUCUAGUCGAACCUGUAGAUUCUAGUUUUUCUGGCUUUCCGCAUAUUAUAUCACCAAGUUGGCAUUUGUCCAGAGCCUGACAAAAGGAGCCGUGACUACAUUAUUCACUGUUCAAAUCACUAGUACUUAAGUAAAUUUCAACUCUUUCCUUGAAUGCAUCAUAAAAACCUAUGUUCCAUUCAUUUAGACUUUGCAAGGCAAGUGCAAGAUCUAUUAGAGGGUUAACAAACUCUUUGUUCUUUUGGUUUGUUACCAUGCAAAAAUGUUGAUUUAUUAGCCAAUCUUGUGAAUUUAAGUGGACUUCUUUGCAUAAUAGUUUUUCAGUACUCAGUGCAAUAAGUACCUCCCAGAUUUCUGUAUCAGAGUGCUGUGCUAGUGGAUCUAGGUUUCCUCUAACUGUUCCCUCAAACAUUGUUGGAUCCUGAGGAAUAAUACUAAGCCUUGACCUCAAAUCAUGAAGACCUAUCUUGCAAAUAUCUAUAUCAUCGAUGCUAAUGCUUCCUUCUUGGGGUUCUACUAUCCGGAAAAGGGCCUGAAUGAGGCUUGAUUUACCACUUCCUGUUCUGCCCACAACACCGACUUUCUUACCUCCCGGCAAUGUGCAUGUUAUGUUUUUCAAAACAGAAGGGAGGUGUUCAGCAUAACGUAUCUGCAGAUAGGGGUAUGGUGAUAAUAUCAGUGGGUGGAAAUAUUAAGUUAAUCAAACUAGAAAAUAUGUAAACAAGUAUAUAAUAUUCCUGCUAGUUUUUGAGUAAAUAUAGCUUUAUUCCUUGCAUCUUUGACAUCUAUUACUACUGGAUGAUAUCCUACUGCGUUAUUGCAAACCUCAUAAUCGAGUCUAGUUUUAUCUUAGCCACAGGAUACUGUCUUUACCUGCAAAGUUUGGAAGGAAAUUGUACCAGUUUCUGGCCAAGUACUUGAUGGUCUGCUAUUUUCAAUCACAAGAGGUGCUUCACUGGCAAGGUUUGAGUACUGGAGAAUCCUUUCAACUGAUAUCAUUUUGUUUUCAGCAUUGCAAAUAUUCCAUAUAACGGAAGCUUGUAAAAUAUUCAAAUUGAUCCCAUAUGUUACUGCUAAUCCUGCAAUGCCUGUAGAAUAUAAAGCACCAUCAGUUUCCUCUGAUUUCUUUUAUGAAGUUGAAGUUCUUAACACCUGUCAUCCACCACUAAAUCAACAAAAAAAAAGAAAGGAACUUCUGAUUAUCCUGACUUUCUUAAGAAACAUGACUUUGAUAGAUUACGUGCUUUUACCAUUUUAGUUCCUACUGUGCUCUACAUAAAAACAUAAAGACAACCAGUUUCUGAUGCUUACUUGGAUUUAUAAUUCCUUCGGGGAGUGUGACUAGCAGAACAAGGGAGAAGGCAAAAACAAAAUUAGAUAGCUGAUUCAGUCUAAAAGAAAGCCACUCCAUUGCUGAUACAUUGUGAAACCAUGGCCUUGAAUGAUCAUCUAUGAAACAAAGGUUUGUGUGCGCAAAGCGAUCUUUUUGGUUGAAAGCACGAAUUGUUGCUGCUCCUGCGAGUGAUUCUCCAAAGUGAUGGAGAAUUGGAGCUCUUUGAACUCCAGAUAAACGAGCAAGCUCCCUUGCAGUUGGUAUGUAGUAUUGCUGGCAGUUUUAACAAAAAUAACUUUAAUUGACAUUUUACAAAAGAAACGUACAGUUUGUUUAUCUCUAAAUAAUAAUUUUACCAAUAUUUUCCCAAACUCCACUUACUGAUGAAUACAAAAUUCUUUUACAAGGUAGCUCAAUGAGAACUGCUUAUUUUAGCAGAAAACUUGGUUUUAUCAUCGUGUCUUCCUACCCUAACUUGACCACUAGAGUACUUUGUCUAAAACACGACAGCAACUUUGUUUUAAUUAUUUAGCAUUCCAAGAAUUAAACAUGUACUGCUUAUUUACCUGGUACCAAAUGCAGACUGCUGUUACUGGAAUAAAGAUGACAAAUACUUCCCAUGCAGCCUGCGACAUGACUGCAAUUGUCCCAAUAAGCUGAAUAAUGGAGAAUGCACACCAACCCAACUUGUUUGCCAUUUCCAAGUCUAGAACACUUUGAUCUGUUGAUACCUGUUCAUGUAAUAAGAUGUCUUGAUGAUUGAUCCAAUAGGAUUUCAUUAAUGAAUCAACUGAAUUUCAGCCUUAGGUUGUAUGAGAAAUAUAAGAGAAGAGUAUUAUUGAAUUGUUGUAUCUACAUUAUUACAAUGAGAGCCUAUUUAUAUACAUUACAUUCCAAUCCUUUUCCAAGCAGGACACUACAUUACAAUCCUUUUUCAAGUAGGAUUCUGUAUACUAUUCCUUCUCCUACUCAAUAUUCUCACUUCCCGCUCAAGAUGGUGCAUACAAGUCAUAUGUGUACCAAGCUUGUCAUGGAUGUAAUUAAUACGAGGAUUAGUGAGGGACUUGGUCAAGAUAUCUGUAAGAAAACCGAUAAGGACUGCUCCAGACGUAUGGGCGAUCACAGUUGAAAAGGAACAAACUAAAAGAGUGGUCAGUUGUCGCUGGAAAGUCGAUUUGUCGCUGGAAAGUUGUCGGAAACUGGUAUAAAAUAUAUGGGUCAUCUCGAAAUCAAGAGAUAAGUAGAUCUUCAAUAAGAAAGACACUGAAAAACUAGCCGGAACAUGCUCACACAUCGAAUUAUUAGAUUUGGUGGCUAAAAAGUGGUCGGAAUUUGGGAAAAAAUUAUAUGGAUAGGGUCGGAAUGGUGAGAUGACCUACUGAGAAAGAGAAAUUAUAUGGCUAGGGUUGAAAUGAUGGCACGACCCUACUGCAAAAUAGAUUGUAUAUGUAGGGUCGGAAUGACGGCAUGCAACGAGAAAUUAUAUGGGUAGGGUUGGAAUGACGGCACGAUCCUAUUGAAAAAGAGAGAUUAUAUGGGAAGGAUCAGAAAGAUGCAUGAAACUAUGCAAAUCAGAUUUGAGGAGUGACCGGAAAGACGCACGAAACUCUGCAAAUCAGAUUUGAGGAGUCACCGGAAAGACGCACGAAAUGAUGCAAAUUAGAUCUGAGUAGUCAUCGGAACAAUGCAUGGUGCUAUGCAAUUUGGAUAUCAGAAAGUAGUUCGAAAAGAUGCACGGUACUAUGCAAAUUAAAUAUGAGAAAUAGUUUGGAGAAAUGUACGGUUCUACGAAAUUAGAUAUGAGAAAGUAGUCACCGAAAAUAUUCACGGUGCUAUGCAAAUCAGAUAUGAGAAAAUAGUCAUCGGAAAGAAACAUGUUGACCCAAUCUUUUGCUAACAUGAUCAUUGGCCAGACGGGCAGCAUUUAUGAGUUAUAGCAGCCCGCCGGCAACGAAAGUUCUUUGAUUCUCUACCAAGAUCAUAGAGGCUUUGAUCCCACAUGAGAAAUAUAAGAGAAGUAUAUUAUUGAAUCGUUGUAUCUAUAUUAUUUAUGGACACUACAUUCCAAUCCUUUUCCAAGCAGGAUACUACAUUACAAUCAUUGUUCACGUAGGAUUCUGUAUAUUAUUCCUUCUCCUACUCAUAUUCUAACAAGUUCUAGAGGUUAAGACAAGAAUUUACACUUCACUUCACUUUUGUCAUGUUUUUAUCUUGACUAUCUUAUUAUGAUAUUUCUCUGUGGAUUAACUUGUGAGUUACGUUGGUUGAGAGGACAAAUUCAGAUACACCGGAAAACGCCUACUUGCUUUAUGCAGUUGUGAGAUAUUAGCUAACAUUCCAUUACUUAGCUUAUAUCAAAUAUGUUCCUCCAACUUAUAGCUUUUAUCAUGCCUGAUUUCUUCCUAUUUAUUCCUUUUUAACAUGUACCAAGGAUAUGUACCUAUCCGUGUAGAUGCAGGAUAAGCAAAACUACCCAACUAUUACUACAUAUGCAGGAUGAAUACUAGGCUAAAUCCACACAUCUCAUUCAAAUUAAGGGAUGUAAACUGCAGCUGAUAUGCUGUCCUCAUAUCCGAUCCCAAUCAACUAACUUUGAUUUACUUACUCGAUUUAAGAUUCUUCCUGUAGGAGUAGAGUCAAAGAAUGACAUAGGAGCACGAAGGAUGCUGUGCAGCAUGCUUCUAAAGAGCUUUUCUGCUGUUCGAAGGCCUGUUAUAACGACAAAUGAUGACCGGACUAGCACACAAAGAGAAC
This 5816-nucleotide long non-coding RNA is filed under the name Capsicum annuum. RNAcentral describes it as "long non-coding RNA (CANN_LNC015586)". Lineage: Eukaryota; Viridiplantae; Streptophyta; Magnoliopsida; Solanales; Solanaceae. The record is from RNAcentral.